AACGAACGCUGGCGGCGUGGCUAAAACAUGCAAGUCGAGCGAGAAAGUUCCCUUCGGGGAGCGAGUACAGCGGCGGAAGGGUGAGGAAUACAUGGGUAACGUGCCCCUGGCUCCGGGAUAGCUGCGGGAAACUGCAGGUAAUACCGGAUGAGACCACGGUGUCAUAAGACACAGUGCUCAAAGGUGGGGAUCCCUUCGGGGACCUAUUGGCCAAGGAGCGGCCCAUGGCCUAUCAGCUUGUUGGUGAGGUAAUGGCUCACCAAGGCAUCGACGGGUACCGGGACUGAGAGGUUGGCCCGGCACAUUGGGACUGAGACACUGCCCAGACUCCUACGGGUGGCA
Molecule: ribosomal RNA, 342 nt
Filed under: uncultured Planctomycetota bacterium
Lineage: Bacteria; Pseudomonadati; Planctomycetota
Description: bacterial SSU rRNA
Rfam family: Bacterial small subunit ribosomal RNA
Source: RNAcentral